This 492-nucleotide ribosomal RNA is filed under the name uncultured bacterium. RNAcentral's name for it is "bacterial SSU rRNA". It matches the Rfam family "Bacterial small subunit ribosomal RNA", at positions 15 to 507 of the family's 1533-position model. The record is from RNAcentral.
GAUCCUGGCUCAGGAUGAACGCUAGCGGCAGGCUUAACACAUGCAAGUCGAGGGGUAUUGGUUUUCGGACCAAGAGACCGGCGCACGGGUGCGUAACGCGUAUGCAAUCUACCUUUUGCAGAGGGAUAGCCCAGAGAAAUUUGGAUUAAUACCUCAUAGUAUAGGUACUUUGGCAUCAAGGAACUAUUAAAGUCACAACGGCAAAAGAUGAGCAUGCGUCCCAUUAGCUAGUUGGUAGGGUAACGGCUUACCAAGGCUACGAUGGGUAGGGGUCCUGAGAGGGAGAUCCCCCACACUGGUACUGAGACACGGACCAGACUCCUACGGGAGGCAGCAGUGAGGAAUAUUGGACAAUGGGCGCAAGCCUGAUCCAGCCAUGCCGCGUGCAGGAUGACGGUCCUAUGGAUUGUAAACUGCUUUUAUACAGGAAGAAACACUCCGACGUGUCGGGGCUUGACGGUACUGUAAGAAUAAGGAUCGGCUAACUCCGUG